UGAGGAAUAUUGGUCAAUGGGCGCGAGCCUGAACCAGCCAAGUAGCGUGAAGGAUGACUGCCCUACGGGUUGUAAACUUCUUUUAUAAAGGAAUAAAGUGAGGCACGUGUGCCUUUUUGUAUGUACUUUAUGAAUAAGGAUCGGCUAACUCCGUGCCAGCAGCCGCGGUAAUACGGAGGAUCCGAGCGUUAUCCGGAUUUAUUGGGUUUAAAGGGAGCGUAGAUGGGUUGUUAAGUCAGCGGUGAAAGUCUGUGGCUCAACCAUAGAAUUGCCGUUGAAACUGGGAGGCUUGAGUAUGUUUGAGGCAGGCGGAAUGCGUGGUGUAGCGGUGAAAUGCUUAGAUAUCACGCAGAACCCCGAUUGCAAAGGCAGCCUGCUAAGCUGCAACUGACAUUGAGGCUCGAAAGUGUGGGUAUCAAACAGG
This 424-nucleotide ribosomal RNA is filed under the name uncultured bacterium. RNAcentral describes it as "bacterial SSU rRNA". It matches the Rfam family "Bacterial small subunit ribosomal RNA", at positions 355 to 776 of the family's 1533-position model. The record is from RNAcentral.